UUAUUAACUUUUUCAUUUUCCGUUGAUCUAUACUUAAGCGUUUCCUCUUAGAACAGUUUUUUAAUAAGAGAAGAAAACACGGACAGUGGGAAACUCAAGCUUGAUAGAAUUUGUCCGGAAAAGUGUAUGACGCCUGUUUACCAACUCAUACGGCUUUAACUAAACGUAAGCUCUUCGAAGUUGAGGGCUUGUCAUAAAUGAUUUCUCUAAAACUACGGCCCAAAUCUUAUCAAGGCAGUGCAUGGUAUUGUUCUAUUUACCAUUUUGUUGACGCCUAACAUCAUAUUUGUCACCACAUUUCGACUGAGUUGAAACUUUAUCGAUAGCAACAUCUAACUGUUUAUUAUAAAACUGUUGUCACGCGACCACACAUCAUGAUAAAACAUUCGUCGAGAGAUGUUUACAAAUCAGAUGGUUCGAGGCAUUUAGAACAGGUGGUCUGGUAACACGACUGAUAAAUAUUACACGUUUCACCAAGUCUGUCACAGAUUGAUCAGAUGUGAAGUUUGAUUUCCCUAUUUUUAGCGUCUUCAGUUUUCUGUCGCAUGGA
Long non-coding RNA from Ylistrum balloti, 550 nucleotides. RefSeq lists it as uncharacterized. NCBI's taxonomy places the organism in Eukaryota, Metazoa, Mollusca, Bivalvia, Pectinida, Pectinidae. The transcript is spliced from 3 exons. The record is from RefSeq and is a predicted model, not a curated record.